CUUGGAUGUAGACAUAGAACAUAUAUGUGAGCAAAUAACAAGAGGAAUCUAACAUUCUUAUCGGGACAGCUGUGCUUUUGAGUUUGAUCCGUGGUCCUCUGAAUACACGAAUACUCUAUGGAACAAACCUUUUCAAAUGUAGCCACGUUCAGCUGAAGAUGAAAGAACUUCUACGUCUUAGCCUUAAUUGCUGUCUGUAAGACUUUGCUUCC
This is a non-coding RNA of Pelobates cultripes (western spadefoot toad), 212 nucleotides long. Lineage: Eukaryota; Metazoa; Chordata; Amphibia; Anura; Pelobatidae. The record is from the annotation of a GenBank genome assembly.